ACCUGGCUGGCUCAGUUGGUAGAGUUUGCGACUUGGGAUGGCAGGGACAUGAGUUCGAGCCCCAUGUUGGGCA
Non-coding RNA from Mustela lutreola (European mink), 73 nucleotides. Lineage: Eukaryota; Metazoa; Chordata; Mammalia; Carnivora; Mustelidae. The record is from the annotation of a RefSeq genome assembly.